RNAcentral lists this ribosomal RNA (1137 nucleotides) under fungal endophyte. Its description in RNAcentral is "eukaryotic LSU rRNA". The stretch from base 554 to 1137 matches the Rfam family "Eukaryotic large subunit ribosomal RNA", at positions 1 to 594 of the family's 3401-position model. The record is from RNAcentral. Lineage: Eukaryota; Fungi.
AAAGUCGUAACAAGGUCUCCGUUGGUGAACCAGCGGAGGGAUCAUUACAAGUAGAGUUUACGAACUCUUAAACCCUUUGUGAACCUUACCUAUCGUCAGUUGCUUCGGCGGGAGGCCCCUGGGAGGGGCCCCGGGGCCCGGCCUGAGCCGGGCUCCCGCCGGAGGAGCGCAAACCAAACUCUUGCUGUACCUCAGUGGAACAUCCGAGUUAAAACAAAAAACAAGUUAAAACUUUCAACAACGGAUCUCUUGGUUCUGGCAUCGAUGAAGAACGCAGCGAAAUGCGAUAAGUAAUGUGAAUUGCAGAAUUCAGUGAAUCAUCGAAUCUUUGAACGCACAUUGCGCCCGCCAGUAUUCUGGCGGGCAUGCCUGUUCGAGCGUCAUUUCAACCACUCAGGCCCUGGUGCCUGGCGUCGGGGCUUCUUAUAGAUCCCCUAGAAUCAGUGGCGGACCCGCCGCGGCUCCGAGCGUAGUAGUAAAAUAUCUCGCUAUGGAGGUCCGUGGGGGGCUUACCGGCCGUAAAAGCUUUCUCUCACGAGAAAAUUCUCAAGGUUGACCUCGGAUCAGGUAGGAAUACCCGCUGAACUUAAGCAUAUCAAUAAGCGGAGGAAAAGAAACCAACAGGGAUUGCCCCAGUAACGGCGAGUGAAGCGGCAACAGCUCAGAUUUGAAAUCUGGUCCCCAGGGCCCGAGUUGUAAUCUGUAGAGGAUGUUUCUGGCAAGGCGCCGUCCGAGUUCCCUGGAACGGGACGCCGGAGAGGGUGAGAGCCCCGUACAGGCGGACGCCGAGCCUCUGUGAAACUCCUUCGACGAGUCGAGUAGUUUGGGAAUGCUGCUCAAAGCGGGAGGUAAAUUUCUUCUAAAGCUAAAUAUAGGCCAGAGACCGAUAGCGCACAAGUAGAGUGAUCGAAAGAUGAAAAGCACUUUGAAAAGAGGGUUAAAAAGCACGUGAAAUUGUUGAAAGGGAAGCGCCUGUGACCAGACUCGCGCCCGGCGUAUCAUCCGGCGUUCUCGCCGGUGCACUACGCCGGGCUCGGGCCAGCAUCGGUUCUGGUGGGGGGAUAAAGGCGGCGGGGAUGUGGCUCCCCCGGGAGUGUUAUAGCCCGCCGCUCAAUGCCCUCGCCGGGACCGAGGACC